GCCUUGAUGCUUUGAGUGCCUUUCUCAAAGCGCGUUUAUUUGCCAAUUUUGAUCGGCUCGCUCGCCUGAAUUGCGCGGGACGAGUCGAUAAAAGUCGUUGAAUGGCCAGAUAAAUUUGCUGAUCGCACGGUCUUAGUACUGGCGACGAAUCUUUGAAACGACUUGCCUAUCAACUGUCGAUGGCAGGCUACGUGCCUACCAUGGUGACAACGGUUAACGGGGAAUCAGGGUUCGAUUCCGGAGAGAGAGCCUGAGAGACGGCUACCACAUCCAAGGAAGGCAGCAGGCACGCAAAUUACCCACUCCCAGAAUGGGGAGGUAGUGACGAUAAAUAACGGAACGUAUCUCGACGAGACGCGUUACCGGAACGACUGAGCCGUAUACAAGCUCGGCGAAAGCUAUUGGAGGGCAAGUCUGGUGCCAGCAGCCGCGGUAAUUCCAGCUCCAAUAGCGUAUAUUAAACUUGCUGCGGUUGAACCGCUCGUAGUUGGAUUGUGAACCGUGACCACGGUCCUCUAAGUGAAGAGGAAUGGCUUUGCCGCCGUUGGUCGUGAUCAAUGAUGUCAUAGUUGUCCGGAUGCUCUUCAUCGGGUGUCUUGGACGGCAUGAAUGUUUACUUUGAGAAAAUAAGAGCGCCCAAAGCAGGCUGCUAUAUGCUUGAACGGAAUUUCAUGGGAUAGUGAA
This 684-nucleotide ribosomal RNA is filed under the name Capillaria aerophila. Its description in RNAcentral is "bacterial SSU rRNA". It matches the Rfam family "Eukaryotic small subunit ribosomal RNA", at positions 172 to 821 of the family's 1831-position model. The record is from RNAcentral. Lineage: Eukaryota; Metazoa; Nematoda; Enoplea; Trichinellida; Capillariidae.